UUUCUGAUAGUAGAUUGGUUAGUACAUGCACCUGUCAUAAAUCGUGCGGGUGCUACAUAUUGCGCAACAGCUGGGUUCAAUUCCCAGUCAGAGAG
Molecule: non-coding RNA, 95 nt
Organism: Mucidula mucida
Lineage: Eukaryota; Fungi; Basidiomycota; Agaricomycetes; Agaricales; Physalacriaceae
Source: the annotation of a GenBank genome assembly